GACGAACGCUGGCGGCGUGCCUAAUACAUGCAAGUAGAACGCUGAAGAGAGGAGCUUACUCUUCUUGGAUGAGUUGCGAACGGGUGAGUCACGCGUAGGUACCCUGCCUUGUAGCGGGGGAUAACUAUUGGAAACGAUAGCUAAUACCGCAUAACAAUGGAUGACACAUGUCAUUUAUUUGAAAGGGGCAAUUGCUCCACUACAAGAUGGACCCGCGUUGUAUUAGCUAGUAGGUGAGGUAAUGGCUCACCUAGGCGACGAUACAGAGACGACCUGAUAGGGUGAGCAGCCACACUGGGACUGAGACACGGCCCAGACGCCUACAGGAGGCAGCAGUAGGGAAACGUCGGCAAUGGGGGCAACCCUGACCGAGCAACGCCGCGUGAGUGAAGAAGGUUUUCGGAUCGGAAAGCUCUGUUGUAAGUCAAGAACGGGUGUGAGAGUGGAAAGUUCACACUGUGACGGUAGCUUACCAGAAAGGAACGGCUAACUACGUG
Molecule: ribosomal RNA, 497 nt
Filed under: uncultured bacterium
Lineage: Bacteria
Description: partial 16S ribosomal RNA
Rfam family: Bacterial small subunit ribosomal RNA
Source: RNAcentral